GCUCCGAUAGCUCAAUAGGUUAGAGCGUUCGCCUUAUAAGCGAUUGACGAUUGGUUCAAUCCCAUCUCGGAGUACCA
This 77-nucleotide transfer RNA is filed under the name Ruminococcus sp. YE282. Its description in RNAcentral is "tRNA_Ile_TAT". It matches the Rfam family "tRNA". Rfam says of the family: Transfer RNA (tRNA) molecules are approximately 80 nucleotides in length. Lineage: Bacteria; Bacillati; Bacillota; Clostridia; Eubacteriales; Oscillospiraceae. The record is from RNAcentral.